This 468-nucleotide ribosomal RNA is filed under the name uncultured bacterium. RNAcentral describes it as "partial 16S ribosomal RNA". It matches the Rfam family "Bacterial small subunit ribosomal RNA", at positions 28 to 507 of the family's 1533-position model. The record is from RNAcentral.
GACGAACGCUGGCGGCGUGCUUAACACAUGCAAGUCGAACGGAAAGGCCCUGCUUUUGUGGGGUGCUCGAGUGGCGAACGGGUGAGUAACACGUGAGUAACCUGCCCUUGACUUUGGGAUAACUUCAGGAAACUGGGGCUAAUACCGGAUAGGAGCUCCUGCUGCAUGGUGGGGGUUGGAAAGUUUCGGCGGUUGGGGAUGGACUCGCGGCUUAUCAGCUUGUUGGUGGGGUAGUGGCUUACCAAGGCUUUGACGGGUAGCCGGCCUGAGAGGGGGACCGGCCUCAUUGGGACUGAGAUACGGCCCAGACUCCUACGGGAGGCAGCAGUGGGGAAUAUUGCACAAUGGGCGGAAGCCUGAUGCAGCAACGCCGCGUGCGGGAUGACGGCCUUCGGGUUGUAAACCGCUUUCGCCUGUGACGAAGCGUGAGUGACGGUAAUGGGUAAAGAAGCACCGGCUAACUACGUG